RNAcentral lists this ribosomal RNA (1377 nucleotides) under Cryobacterium flavum. RNAcentral's name for it is "bacterial SSU rRNA". It matches the Rfam family "Bacterial small subunit ribosomal RNA", at positions 67 to 1444 of the family's 1533-position model. The record is from RNAcentral. Lineage: Bacteria; Bacillati; Actinomycetota; Actinomycetes; Micrococcales; Microbacteriaceae.
CGGUGAAGGGGAGCUUGCUCCUUGGAUCAGUGGCGAACGGGUGAGUAACACGUGAGCAAUCUGCCCUUGACUCUGGGAUAACUGCGGGAAACUGUAGCUAAUACCGGAUAUUACCUUGGAAGGCAUCUUCUGGGGUGGAAAGAAUUUUGGUCAAGGAUGAGCUCGCGGCCUAUCAGCUAGUUGGUGAGGUAAUGGCUCACCAAGGCGACGACGGGUAGCCGGCCUGAGAGGGUGACCGGCCACACUGGGACUGAGACACGGCCCAGACUCCUACGGGAGGCAGCAGUGGGGAAUAUUGCACAAUGGGCGCAAGCCUGAUGCAGCAACGCCGCGUGAGGGACGACGGCCUUCGGGUUGUAAACCUCUUUUAGUAGGGAAGAAGCGACUGGGUUUUCCUGGGAGUGACGGUACCUGCAGAAAAAGCACCGGCUAACUACGUGCCAGCAGCCGCGGUAAUACGUAGGGUGCAAGCGUUGUCCGGAAUUAUUGGGCGUAAAGAGCUCGUAGGCGGUUUGUCGCGUCUGCUGUGAAAACCCGAGGCUCAACCUCGGGCCUGCAGUGGGUACGGGCAGACUAGAGUGCGGUAGGGGAGAUUGGAAUUCCUGGUGUAGCGGUGGAAUGCGCAGAUAUCAGGAGGAACACCAAUGGCGAAGGCAGAUCUCUGGGCCGUAACUGACGCUGAGGAGCGAAAGCAUGGGGAGCGAACAGGAUUAGAUACCCUGGUAGUCCAUGCCGUAAACGUUGGGAACUAGAUGUGGGGACCAUUCCACGGUCUCCGUGUCGCAGCUAACGCAUUAAGUUCCCCGCCUGGGGAGUACGGCCGCAAGGCUAAAACUCAAAGGAAUUGACGGGGGCCCGCACAAGCGGCGGAGCAUGCGGAUUAAUUCGAUGCAACGCGAAGAACCUUACCAAGGCUUGACAUAUACCGGUAACGCCUGGAAACAGGUGCCCCGCAAGGUCGGUAUACAGGUGGUGCAUGGUUGUCGUCAGCUCGUGUCGUGAGAUGUUGGGUUAAGUCCCGCAACGAGCGCAACCCUCGUCCUAUGUUGCCAGCACGUAAUGGUGGGAACUCAUGGGAUACUGCCGGGGUCAACUCGGAGGAAGGUGGGGAUGACGUCAAAUCAUCAUGCCCCUUAUGUCUUGGGCUUCACGCAUGCUACAAUGGCCGGUACAAAGGGCUGCGAUACCGCAAGGUGGAGCGAAUCCCAAAAAGCCGGUCUCAGUUCGGAUUGAGGUCUGCAACUCGACCUCAUGAAGUCGGAGUCGCUAGUAAUCGCAGAUCAGCAACGCUGCGGUGAAUACGUUCCCGGGCCUUGUACACACCGCCCGUCAAGUCAUGAAAGUCGGUAACACCCGAAGCCAGUGGCCGAACCCGUA